RNAcentral lists this ribosomal RNA (407 nucleotides) under uncultured bacterium. Its description in RNAcentral is "partial 16S ribosomal RNA". It matches the Rfam family "Bacterial small subunit ribosomal RNA", at positions 30 to 526 of the family's 1533-position model. The record is from RNAcentral.
AUUGAACGCUGGCGGCAGGCCUAACACAUGCAAGUCGAGCUGAGCGGCGGACGGGUGAUUAAUGCCUAGGAAUCUGCCUGGUAGUGGGGGAUAACGUCCGUAUACUGGCGCUAAUACCGCAUACUAUCAGAUGAGUCUAGGUCGGAUUAGCUAGGUGGUGGGGUAAAGGCCUACCAAGGCGACUAUCCGUAACUGGUCUGAGAGGAUGGUCAGUCAAACUGGAACUGAGACACGGUCCAGACUCCUACGGGAGGCAGCAUUGGGGAAGAUUGGACAAUGGGCGAAAGCCUGAGCCAGCCAUGCCGCGUGUGUGAAGAAGGUCUUCGGAUGGUAAAGCACUUUAAGUUGGGAGGCGUUACCAACAGAAUAAGCACCGGCUAACUUCGUGCCAGCAGCCGCGGUAAUUC